GGCGGACGGGUGAGUAACGCGUGGGUAACCUACCCUGUACAGGGGGAUAGCAGUUGGAAACGACUAGAUAAAACCGCAUAAAACGGCAGUACCGCAUGGUACAACCGUCAAAUAUUCAUAGGUACAGGAUGGGCCCGCGUCUGAUUAGCUAGUUGUGGGGCAACGGCCUACCAAGGCGACGAUCAGUAGCCGGCCUGAGAGGAUGAACGGCCACAUUGGGACUGAGACACGGCCCAAACUCCUACGGGAGGCAGCAGUGGGGAAUAUUGGACAAUGGGGGAAACCCUGAUCCAGCCGACGCCGCGUGAGUGAAGAAGUAUUUCGGUAUGUAAAGCUCUAUCAGCAGGGAAGAUGAUGACGGUACCUGACUAAGAAGCACCGGCUAAAUACGUGCCAGCCGCCGC
RNAcentral lists this ribosomal RNA (404 nucleotides) under uncultured bacterium. Its description in RNAcentral is "bacterial SSU rRNA". It matches the Rfam family "Bacterial small subunit ribosomal RNA", at positions 97 to 518 of the family's 1533-position model. The record is from RNAcentral.